Molecule: long non-coding RNA, 1423 nt
Organism: Aegilops tauschii subsp. strangulata
Lineage: Eukaryota; Viridiplantae; Streptophyta; Magnoliopsida; Poales; Poaceae
Source: RefSeq, a predicted model, not a curated record
AACCGAAGUCCCUCUUUGCACAGUGCAUCGCCCCCUCGCCCGUGUCCGAAACUUCCCCGAACCCGAAUCGGACUAUCGUUACCAUUGGGUUCGGAUCAUCCCCAAACAUCUAUAAAACAUCACCGUUUUCUUUGUUGGACUCUCCUAGCUUAUUUUUCUUAACCGUCCGAUUUAAAUCGGAGGGACCAAAUAUCCCCUAACCUAAAUUCAUCUGCUAUAUAUAUUAGUCUAACCCUAGCCUUGUCCCAUCCAACCAUCAAAUCCUCCCCGCCGCCGCCAGCCCACCUGGUCUCCUCCUCGUCUUCCCCACCGAGCCAACCACCAUCCACCUCAGAUCCGCCCCCUCCAACCGUAGCCUCCGACCAACUCCCGUGAUUUCCGCGCCACCCAAAUCACCAGCAAGCCGCAGCCUCCUCCUUCCCGCGCCUGCAACCAGCUCCUUAUCCCAAGUGUCCCCGCUUUCCGGGCGCGUCCCGCACCAAGGAGAGGAGCUCCUCGAGCCCCUCGGCUCCAGCGCCUGGCCUCGACUACAGCCGCCCUGCCGGCGAGCUGCACCACAGAUGAGCCCCGCGCCGCCCCUUCCUUCCUUUCCUGCUUCUCUCUUCUCCCUCUCACAUCUCUCGCUCUCUGCAACAGGAACAUCAUGGAGCCCCGCAGCAGAUGCUCGCCGUUGCCGCUGCUCGCCCCGCGUCCCCGAGCACCUCGUCGCUGCUGCCCAAACAACCGCCGGCGACCAGCAGGAACCAUGGUGCGCGAAGGCCUCCGAGCUCGCCCACCUCCUGGUUCCGACGACCGCUGCUGCGUGGUCACCGGAGGACGGCGCCGCUGUCGCAUGGGAGCUACUAGGUCGCCCUGGCUCCUCCUUUUCUUUCCCGUUUCCUCUCCCUGUCUCUCCCCUCUGAAUUCGUUCUCUCUCUGUAUUUCUUCACAGGAGUCGAGUCGCCGUCGUCCUGUUCGACUCCCACCAUCAGGAACCGGCUCCCCUCGUCAGAUCCGGUGGAUCCUCGCCGCCGUCCGCCGCCUAUAGGCCCCAUCUCGCCGCACUCCCUCCGUUCCUUGCGCCCACGUCGCCGAAGUCCAUCGCGCCCAGCCGCUGGCGUUUGAACCUGCUGCUGUUUCUGUUCUUCAGAAACGAGCAGCAGCAGCUCGCUCGCCUCAUCCCUGCGUUGACCCGCGCGCUGCCUCGCUUGACCGGUCUCCCCUCCUCGCUGUUGACAGCAUCAAGGCCCAGCGCGCCUCAGCCGCAUGCAUCGACCGCGUGGACCAGGAGGCCUCGAUCGCCUCCAGCCAAACCGCACCAGGCCCAGAUCUGCCAGCUCUCUGAAGCCCAAUCUUCGGUUUCGUUCCGGAGUUGUGAGGAUUCGUUCGACUACGUCCGUUUGUCUUCUUCAUGGAUUCGAUCUUCUUCCUAGUGGGAUCUCAG